RNAcentral lists this ribosomal RNA (497 nucleotides) under uncultured bacterium. RNAcentral describes it as "partial 16S ribosomal RNA". It matches the Rfam family "Bacterial small subunit ribosomal RNA", at positions 28 to 507 of the family's 1533-position model. The record is from RNAcentral.
GAUGAACGCUGGCGGCGUGCCUAAUACAUGCAAGUCGAGCGAACGGACGAGAAGCUUGCUUCUCUGAUGUUAGCGGCGGACGGGUGAGUAACACGUGGAUAACCUACCUAUAAGACUGGGAUAACUUCGGGAAACCGGAGCUAAUACCGGAUAAUAUUUUGAACCGCAUGGUUCAAAAGUGAAAGACGGUCUUGCUGUCACUUAUAGAUGGAUCCGCGCUGCAUUAGCUAGUUGGUAAGGUAACGGCUUACCAAGGCAACGAUGCAUAGCCGACCUGAGAGGGUGAUCGGCCACACUGGAACUGAGACACGGUCCAGACUCCUACGGGAGGCAGCAGUAGGGAAUCUUCCGCAAUGGGCGCAAGCCUGACGGAGCAACGCCGCGUGAGUGAUGAAGGUCUUCGGAUCGUAAAACUCUGUUAUUAGGGAAGAACAGAUGUGUAAGUAACUGUGCACAUCUUGACGGUACCUAAUCAGAAAGCCACGGCUAACUACGUG